GCCAAUUUGAUAGGAAGUACAGUGUUCUGAGCUGCCAAAGCCGUGCUCGAUCCAGCCAAUGAGAUGUACUUUAACUACAGAAGUGAAGGAGACAGACACAGCACUGGGACCCACGGAAGCUCAGCAAACAUGGCCGACACACAGACCUGGGAGUCAAAAUGUCAGAAGGAUCAUGAAGCGCUGGAGAUGAGGGAUGUCAGACACAGAAGAGCCUCAGUGAGACGACUAGGGAGACUUGUGGGAAGAGAGCCUUUAAUUUGCAAGUGUAGAUAUUUCAGCAUUCACCAAAACCCAACAUUCAAGAAACAUGAAAGAAACCGGCUUUCCACUGAUGUUACGGAA
Molecule: long non-coding RNA, 342 nt
Filed under: Felis catus (domestic cat)
Lineage: Eukaryota; Metazoa; Chordata; Mammalia; Carnivora; Felidae
Description: lncRNA (ENSFCAG00000042805.2)
Source: RNAcentral